GUGAUUUGUUGUUUCUAACAAACACAACACUGUGGUAUGUUGCGCGGAGAGAGGAGGAGGAUUGUCGGUGGGUUGGUGGGUGUUGAUUUCGACGCCUCAACACCAGCCCGCCACCAUCAUCCAGCAACAAGACACUGAAACAAUCUAUCUACAACUCAAACACAAAACAAACA
Molecule: unclassified non-coding RNA, 173 nt
Filed under: uncultured fungus
Lineage: Eukaryota; Fungi
Description: sequence contains ITS1, 5.8S rRNA gene
Source: RNAcentral